GCGGAGGAAAAGAAACUAACAAGGAUUCCCCUAGUAACUGCGAGUGAAGCGGGAAAAGCUCAAAUUUAAAAUC
This 73-nucleotide ribosomal RNA is filed under the name Russula cf. subfoetens MICH28542. Its description in RNAcentral is "partial 28S ribosomal RNA". It matches the Rfam family "Eukaryotic large subunit ribosomal RNA", at positions 50 to 122 of the family's 3401-position model. Lineage: Eukaryota; Fungi; Basidiomycota; Agaricomycetes; Russulales; Russulaceae. The record is from RNAcentral.